Long non-coding RNA from Carassius carassius (crucian carp), 628 nucleotides. RefSeq lists it as uncharacterized. The record is from RefSeq and is a predicted model, not a curated record. The transcript is spliced from 3 exons. Lineage: Eukaryota; Metazoa; Chordata; Actinopteri; Cypriniformes; Cyprinidae.
GGCCCUUGAUGUUGAUUCUGUGGCACUGCACCACAUAUUGGUCUAUGGAUGGAAACACUUUAAUUAGGUUUAUGAUGUGUUGGAUGGGGUGAUGUUCAAAUAGCACAUUACGGUGGAUAUUAGAAAAUUGCACCUUUCUUAUCAAUGGUUGCCUGUCACAGAGAUAAUAUCCAAUCUGAUCAUUUUAAGGUACAACAUAGUGGUGUUCGGAGGUUCACGGAAGGUACAGCUGACUAAAAUUUUUAAAUUGAACUACUGGUUUACAUGUUGUUUACAUUUUUAGUUUUGCUUGGAAUAUAACAUUUUUCAUUCCUAUCCUCAAUCAGGUUUUGUACCUCAAUGCGGCUGGGAAUAAUAAGGCAGAGACUGGUUUGAGGUUUUUCAUGGAGAGUGUGCAGAAACAUGGAUGGCCAUCAAGAUUACACAAUGACCAAUGUGUAGAAAAUGUGGAGAUAGCAAGAUCCAUGUUCACUUAGCGAGGAACAGGUCAUGGCAGCUUUAUAGCUGGGAAAAGUGUGCACAACCAAAGAGUGGAAUGACUAUGGAGAGAUGUGUGGAACACUGUAACAUCUCAGUACUACAACAUCCUUCACACCUUGGAGGAAGUGGGGUUCGAGACCUCUCAAAU